CCCGCUGAAUUUAAGCAUAUCAAUAAGCGGAGGAAAAGAAACUAACAAGGAUUCCCCUAGUAACGGCGAGCGAAGCGGGAAGAGCUCAAAUUUGAAAGCUGGCGUCUUCGGCGUCCGCGUUGUAAUCUCGAGACGUGUUUUCCGUGCGGCUCUAUGGGCAAGUCCCUUGGAACAGGGCAUCGUAGAGGGUGAAAAUCCCGUACUUGCCAUGGAAGUUCCGUGCUUUGUGAUACACGCUCCAAGAGUCGAGUAGUUUGGGAUUGCUGCUCAAAGUGGGUGGUAGACUCCAUCUAAAGCUAAAUAUCGGGGAGAGACCGAUAGCGAACAAGUACCGUGAGGGAAAGAUGAAAAGCACUUUGGAAAGAGAGUUAAAAGUACGUGAAAUUGUCGAAAGGGAAGCACUUGAAGUCAGCCAUGCUGCUUGAGACUCAGCCUGGCUUUUGCUUGGUGUAUUUCUCGGUAGCAAGCCAGCAUUGGUUUGUGUCGUCGGAGAAGCGUAUGGGGAAUGUGGCAUCCUCGGAUGUGUUAUAGCCCUGUGCAGGAUGCUGUGUCGCAGACUGAGGACUGCAGUGCGCCAUAAGGCAUGGUCUUCGGGCCACGAGCACUUAAGAUGCUGGGCGAAUGGGUUUCAACGACCCGUCUUGAAACGCAGACCAAAGAA
Molecule: ribosomal RNA, 661 nt
Filed under: uncultured yeast
Lineage: Eukaryota; Fungi
Description: eukaryotic LSU rRNA
Rfam family: Eukaryotic large subunit ribosomal RNA
Source: RNAcentral